CAGUCAAUUAGCUGCUGAUUUCAUGCGGCCCGCAUCAGGAGCGCAUCGCUCUCUCUAUGAUCCCGACACCCCCACCACCACCAACACCAACCAUACCCACACACGUACCCGCCGCUCAUCUCUCUACUUCUCCCCACCACCACCCUCUCCGCUCGGUGUGUAGCGGUGUUGCUCCGCGCUGCCGUCUCCCACUGCAGAUCUCUCAGCGCCUCUCACUGCCAUUUGGGCGGACAGGCGUGUGUGCCGCGACAACCUCAGCGAGCGAGAGAAGCGUACCCCAUGGUGCUCUCCGUCUGCCCCCGAAUAGGGUCACGGCAGCGAUCCCGUUGCUGCGGGGCCGCUGCCGUUGCUGCACCUCUGCUGGCCAUGGCCUGUCUGCUGCUCGCGCUCUGCAUCCUGCCGGACCCAGCAGCUGCGGUGGUGGGGUCACUUAACGGCGCCUCAGCCCGCAGCCCGUCUGUCGCCCCCCACAUUGGCGACCUUGUGCCGCUUGCCAUGUACAUCAGGACGAAGCGGCAGAUCCGGCACUCCUUCAUCUCCGUCGCCGAUCAGCAGCUAGCAGUGGACGAAGAGGCGGUGGUCGACGACGCCGCGGGCAAUGUCGAGGCCGCCACAGCCGCGGAAGUGCUGCGGCCGAAGGACCUCGACCUGCCAUCUCUAGGUGCCACCAGAGGCAAGCACAAAAACCAGGUUGUACGCCUGCUGCCACCAGCGUCUAGCCCACGCUUCGGCAUCAACAAAGCAGUCACGAUCGUGGCGAACAGCACCCUGCGUGCGGCGGGUCAGAGCCUGCAGGAGGACACGGCGCUGCAGCAGAGCGACUUGGCGUUCCGCUUCAGCGUCGGCAGAGGGCUACACAAGGAGUCGACAUGGUUGCCGCUGGCGGCCCGCAAGAAAUACACAAGUCAGCUCUCCGAGACUCUCGCUGGCCGGCUACAUGAGAUGCAAGCCGCGCAAGCCGCCGACGCCGCAGCGGAGCGUCAGCGCGACAAGGAGGCCGCCGAGGCCAUGGACAACACGGCCGCUGCAGCCGCGGCGCAGAAGGUGCAGUACCUCUCCCGCGUCACCUUCUUCUUUGGCUAUCGCAAAGGCGAUCUGCAGAAGAUGACGUCCUUUUCUAUAGCGGCGCAGUACUCGCCAGAGGUGAAACCUGGUGUUGAGCUGCAGUUUCUCUGGAGCGAGCACCGCCCCUACAACCCGAAUCGUGCAGUAACGCUGUGCAGUGCCGUGGCGGUAUUGGUUUCGAUGAUCACCGUGCUGGCCGUGUUCCACCCCUCCAGUCGGAGUAUGCUGCUGUUCAGUCAACGCAUCGUCGCUGUGCGGGCCCACGACUGAGAUGCGGCUUUUGGCUUCUGUUUUGCUAUCCGCGUACGCGGCCAACCGAGCGAGUCUGAAUGAAGAGGGCGGAGGGGGAAGGCGGCGGCGUUCUCGAGCGCCGUCUUGCCAGGCACUCCCCUUCCCUCUCAGUGUGCUGUUAUCUCGUACUCUCGCCUCGCUUCGCCAGUCGAGCGCUUCCGCCCGAGCCUCACUCCCAUUUUCUCUCUCGUUGCUGUUGAAUACAUGUGUGUCUGCGCGUGUGCGUGUCUCGCCGCCCUUCCUCCCACCGUGAAGGUGAAGGUGGAGGGGGGGCGGCAACACAGACG
RNAcentral lists this unclassified non-coding RNA (1643 nucleotides) under Leishmania donovani. Its description in RNAcentral is "gene:LdHU3.21.0390(CDS-product:hypothetical_prote in_conserved)". The record is from RNAcentral. Lineage: Eukaryota; Euglenozoa; Kinetoplastea; Trypanosomatida; Trypanosomatidae.